This 775-nucleotide ribosomal RNA is filed under the name uncultured Neocallimastigales. Its description in RNAcentral is "partial large subunit ribosomal RNA". It matches the Rfam family "Eukaryotic large subunit ribosomal RNA", at positions 24 to 645 of the family's 3401-position model. The record is from RNAcentral. Lineage: Eukaryota; Fungi; Neocallimastigomycota; Neocallimastigomycetes; Neocallimastigales.
UAUCUCUGUAGAGUCUGCAUAUCAAUAAGCGGAGGAAAAGAAACUAACUAGGAUUCCCUCAGUAACGGCGAGUGAAGCGGGAAGAGCUCAAAUUUGAAAUCUUCAAGGUUCUACCUUGACGAAUUGUAGUUUAAAGAAGUGUUUUCUGUUGGAAUUUUGGUAAAAGUUCUUUGGAAAUAGGACAUCAGAGAGGGUGAGAAUCCCGUAUUUGACCAUUAUUUCCAACUUUGUGAUACACUUUCAAAGAGUCGGAUUGGUUGGGAAUGCAGUCCAAAAUGGGUGGUAAGUUUCAUCUAAAGCUAAAUACUGGCGAGAGACCGAUAGCGAACAAGUACCGUGAGGGAAAGAUGAAAAGAACUUUGAAAAGAGAGUUAAACAGUACGUGAAAUUGUCAAAAGGGAAGCGUUUGACACCAGUGUUGUUUUCUCGAAAAUCAAUUAAAAAUGGCGGGAUUUUGUGUUGUAUUGACUUUAUCAGCUUUCUGCACUUUUUUCUUGUCUUUUUUAAUGCACUUUUCGUUUAACAAGUCAACAUCAAUUUCUUUUGUUGUAAAAGGGUCAUUGGAAGGUGGCUUUCUUCUCGGAGAAAGUGUUUAUAGCCUUUGACUUCUGCAAUCGGAGAGAUUGAGGUCUGCAGCGUAGAUCCUUCGGGGUUAGACGCAUUUGUGCUAAGUUAUAGCCUUUCAUAGACAACUUGUUGACUAUGAUCAGUCAUGUAGCCUACUCGCUUAUGUUAUUUUACCUACGCUUAGGAUGUUGAUCUCUCACAGUCGAGC